AGCGACAUUUUGUUUCCUCCUAUUUUCCUUCACACGCUUCUCAAUCAUCCUCUCAUUUCUCUUCAAUGAAAUCCCUAUUUCCUUAAUUAUGUAUUCAUUUCUUUUCUCAAUUUCUUUUCAAAUCAGAAAUCUGGAGCCAUAGUGGCAGAAGUGGUGGUUGAAGACAAACCAACGAUGGUGAUAGGAUUUCCCCAGUUGUCAAUCACUCAUGCACCUAACCCUAAUCACUAUCUCACUCAACCUGCUAUAAAUGUUGCUUCCAGAUCUUUCUCUACGAUUCAAUACAGACGAAACGUUCAAGAUCCUUCAGGUUCGGUAUUGGUUAGGGUUGGCAGGUUCGGUAUUGGUUAGGGUUGGCAGGUUCGGUAUUGUUUAGAGUCUUAUGACUCUUAUGCACUCCAUCACUAGUGUGUUUCAAUUUCUUGAUUGGUUUCUUUUUUGUUUUUUCUUCUUAGUGAUUCAAAUUAAUUUUAAUUUAAUAUAAUAGCAUAAAAGCCACAUUAGGGGGUGCAGGUUGAGGCAAGUUCUGUAUCCGGUCUAUGUUUGAUAUUAGUAUCGUGUACAUGGAGUGUGAAGAUUAUAAUACGAAGCUGCCAAAAUAUUUGCCAGACCAGGUCCUUCGGACCGGAAGGCCUUUGGCUUACGGCCCAUAAGGGCCUUGAAAAAUCAAAAUUUUCCAAAAAUGUCACUUUUAGUCCCUACAAUUGAGUUGUGUGUUAUUUCAUGCUAUAGUUACAUAGUUAUGUAUGUUUUAGGCAUUUUAAGGUGUAUACAAGCAUGUGAAAUGUAUGAAUAUGUUUGAAUAUAACUAUGAGAAAAUAUAAUCUCGGUGUAUAACUCGGUUUUUAAUUAUAAAUGUGUAUUUCGUGAUUGUUUGCAUAUUGUGCAUGCAUGAUUAAACAAGUAUGAUAUAAAAUACGAUUUCCAUUACGAUCAAAGUCUCAGGAAUACAAGGAGUGAAAUUGAAAUACGAUUUACAAUAAAUCAAAAAUAAAAUGAAAAAUACGGAACGUUACAUCAUAUGUGACAAUAUCUCACAAUUCAUUGGAAAAAGAACAACAAAUUUAUGUGAUAGUUAGGGGAUCAAGAUGAUAACUUCAAAACCGGUACAUCCUCAAGCCAACGGUAAGCAGAGUUAAGCAAUAAGAUCAUCAUCAACAACCUUAAGAAGAUAUUGGGAGCUAAGAAGGGGAAAUGGACAAAAGAAUUACCCUUUGGCCAAAUAUAACAACAACAAAGAAUGCAAUAGGCUAGACCUCAUUCUCAUUAGUUUUUGGAACUGAAGUCGUGAUCCCUACAUAAAUGGUGAUCCCUACGGCUAGAUCCAGUCUUCAUACCAAGGAGACCGGUGAUCAAGCCUUAGUGAAGGAUGUUGAUACCAUUAGGAUUGCAACACAUCAACAAAAGAUAACAAAGUCCUAUAACAAGAACAUUCGAAUAAGAGCUUAGGGAGGAACGACGUUAAAGGUUUUGAAGGAAGAGGAGGCUUGAGUAGUUGAGUUCGAAGAUUAUUGUGUAAUGAUUUAAGUUUUUUAUUAGAACUCGUUGUUUAUGUU
Long non-coding RNA from Helianthus annuus (common sunflower), 1556 nucleotides. RefSeq lists it as uncharacterized. The transcript has 2 exons. The record is from RefSeq and is a predicted model, not a curated record. NCBI's taxonomy places the organism in Eukaryota, Viridiplantae, Streptophyta, Magnoliopsida, Asterales, Asteraceae.